RNAcentral lists this ribosomal RNA (421 nucleotides) under uncultured bacterium. RNAcentral's name for it is "bacterial SSU rRNA". It matches the Rfam family "Bacterial small subunit ribosomal RNA", at positions 356 to 774 of the family's 1533-position model. The record is from RNAcentral.
GAGGAAUAUUGGGCAAUGCCCGCAAGGGUGACCCAGCAACGCCGCGUGGAGGAUGAAUGUCGUAAGAUUGUAAACUCCUGUUAGAGGGGAAGAAUAGUACCGGUUGGACCGGCAUAUGACUGUACCUAACGAGAAAGCCCCGGCUAACUACGUGCCAGCAGCCGCGGUAAUACGUAGGGGGCAAGCGUUGUCCGGAAUUCUUGGGCGUAAAGCGCGCGCAGGCGGCUUAUUAAGUCUGAUGUGAAAGCCCACGGCUCAACCGUGGAGGGCCAUUGGAUACUGGUAGGCUUGGGUGCAGGAGAGGAGAGCGGAAUUCCCGGUGUAGCGGUGAAAUGCGUAGAUAGCGGGAGGAACACCCGUGGCGAAGGCGGCUCUCUGGCCUGUAACUGACGCUGAGGCGCGAAAGCGUGGGGAGCAAACA